RNAcentral lists this ribosomal RNA (885 nucleotides) under uncultured bacterium. RNAcentral describes it as "bacterial SSU rRNA". It matches the Rfam family "Bacterial small subunit ribosomal RNA", at positions 56 to 948 of the family's 1533-position model. The record is from RNAcentral.
UGCAGUCGAGGGGUAUAUUUCUUCGGAGAUAGAGACCGGCGCACGGGUGCGUAACGCGUAUGCAAUCUACCUUUUACAGAGGGAUAGCCCAGAGAAAUUUGGAUUAAUACCUCAUAGUAUAAUGACCUGGCAUCAGGAUAUUAUUAAAGUCACAACGGUAAAAGAUGAGCAUGCGUCCCAUUAGCUAGUUGGUAAGGUAACGGCUUACCAAGGCUACGAUGGGUAGGGGUCCUGAGAGGGAGAUCCCCCACACUGGUACUGAGACACGGACCAGACUCCUACGGGAGGCAGCAGUGAGGAAUAUUGGACAAUGGGCGCAAGCCUGAUCCAGCCAUGCCGCGUGCAGGAUGACGGUCCUAUGGAUUGUAAACUGCUUUUAUACGAGAAGAAACACUGCUUCGUGAAGCAGCUUGACGGUAUCGUAAGAAUAAGGAUCGGCUAACUCCGUGCCAGCAGCCGCGGUAAUACGGAGGAUCCAAGCGUUAUCCGGAAUCAUUGGGUUUAAAGGGUCCGUAGGCGGUUUAAUAAGUCAGUGGUGAAAGCCCAUCGCUCAACGGUGGAACGGCCAUUGAUACUGUUAAACUUGAAUUAUUAGGAAGUAACUAGAAUAUGUAGUGUAGCGGUGAAAUGCUUAGAGAUUACAUGGAAUACCAAUUGCGAAGGCAGGUUACUACUAAUGGAUUGACGCUGAUGGACGAAAGCGUGGGUAGCGAACAGGAUUAGAUACCCUGGUAGUCCACGCCGUAAACGAUGGGUACUAGCUGUUGGAAGCAAUUUCAGUGGCUAAGCGAAAGUGAUAAGUAUCCCACCUGGGGAGUACGUUCGCAAGAAUGAAACUCAAAGGAAUUGACGGGGGCCCGCACAAGCGGUGGAGCAUGUGGUUUA